RNAcentral lists this ribosomal RNA (442 nucleotides) under uncultured bacterium. RNAcentral's name for it is "bacterial SSU rRNA". It matches the Rfam family "Bacterial small subunit ribosomal RNA", at positions 53 to 507 of the family's 1533-position model. The record is from RNAcentral.
ACAUUCAAGUCGAACGAUUGAAGCUGGAGCUUGCUCCGGCCGAUUUAGUGGCGGACGGGUGAGGAACGGGUGGGUAACCUGCCUCCUACAGGGGGAUAGCAGUUGGAAACGACUGGUAAAACCGCAUAAGCGCCCGGUGUCGCCUGACACAGUGUGAAAACACUCCGGUGGUAUGAGAUGGACCCGCGUUUGAUUAGCUAGUUGGUGAGGUAACGGCCCACCAAGGCGACGAUCAGUAGCCGGCCUGAGAGGGUGAACGGCCACAUUGGGACUGAGACACGGCCCAAACUCCUACGGGAGGCAGCCGUGGGGAAUAUUGCCCAAUGGGGGAAACCCUGAUGCAGCGACGCCGCGUGAGUGAUGAAGUAUUUCGGUAUGUAAAGCUCUAUCAGCCGGGAAGAUAAUGACGGUUCCUGGCUAAGAAGCACCGGCUAAAUACGUG